GUCCCUGUGGCUCAAUUGGAUAGAGCGUCGGCCUCCGGAGCCGAAGGUUGCAGGUUCGAGUCCUGCCGGGGACG
Molecule: transfer RNA, 74 nt
Filed under: Phycisphaerae bacterium
Lineage: Bacteria; Pseudomonadati; Planctomycetota; Phycisphaerae
Description: tRNA-Arg
Rfam family: tRNA
About the family: Transfer RNA (tRNA) molecules are approximately 80 nucleotides in length. Their secondary structure includes four short double-helical elements and three loops (D, anti-codon, and T loops). Further hydrogen bonds mediate the characteristic L-shaped molecular structure. tRNAs have two regions of fundamental functional importance: the anti-codon, which is responsible for specific mRNA codon recognition, and the 3' end, to which the tRNAs corresponding amino acid is attached (by aminoacyl-tRNA synthetases). tRNAs cope with the degeneracy of the genetic code in two manners: having more than one tRNA (with a specific anti-codon) for a particular amino acid; and 'wobble' base-pairing, i.e. permitting non-standard base-pairing at the 3rd anti-codon position.
Source: RNAcentral